Molecule: long non-coding RNA, 1908 nt
Organism: Gallus gallus (chicken)
Lineage: Eukaryota; Metazoa; Chordata; Aves; Galliformes; Phasianidae
Source: Ensembl
CUGGUCUAAUUAGCAUACACAGCUGAAAUUUAGGGACCUGGGAUGAAGAAAAAAGAGAGGGAGACAUCCACUUAAAUCUCUUUGUCAGGCAGUGGCAUAGGAAGUUGUAAAGACUUGCAGUGCAGAGGUUGCUUCUGUUUGCCUUGCUUGAGGGGGGGCAGUCCCAAGGUGGAAAUGUUCUCCCAUUUCCAAGACCAGCAGAGCACCCUGUAUCCUACAUGAGAGCACCCACCUCUUCUUUUCAAGCCAAGCCAUGAAAACAAAGGAGAACCGAGCAGCAGCCAGCAGAGACACCCCAAAGUGAUGCAGCCGUACCAGCAACGGGGAACUCAUCCCUGGUGAUACCAGGAGAAAUCCCAACUCAUCUCCAGGACACUGAAGCAGAGUGUAGGAGCCUGUAGUCCUCCACUGGGGUUGCUUUGGGAGAGGCUGACCCAGCUGGACUGCAGUGGUAGGGACUGCAGCAAAGAGCCUGAGCAACAUUCAAGUGACGAUGCAGUCCUGUGAGGCAGACCACGUGGGACUCCCUGUUAAGACACAGUCAAGAGAUGACAUCAGUCUUUGUAGGAUCAUAGGAAAUAGCAUCACAGGUGAAGGCACAAAGUACUGAAGUUUCAGAAGAAAAAACAACACAGAAUCUUUGUAUCAAUCCAGUAAAAAAAAGCAACCCAAAAAACAACCUCACCACUUUGGGAAGGAUCUCCUCAAAAGAAAGCUGAUGAGUUGACUGGCAUCAGAGACUGUCCAAACCAAGGAGUCAGAUGGAAAGGACCACGAGGGAAAUUGGGCUGCAUACCCAAGAGAAGGCUUUGAAACAAUGCAAUCCCAUUUUCACAACGUCCAGCAUGGAGAUGUGAUGUCCAAAUCUCCAGUACCACUGUGCUUGCACAGGCAGAGCCUUGCCAGCUUUUCAGUCAGGCUGAGGCUGAAUUUGCCACAAGAGCAAGUCCUAGGAUGUGCAUUCAAGACGAGGAACAGGACCUUGUCCCACAGAGAACUUUUCCACCAAGCAAGCCCAGGGUGUCAGACUAGGAGCCUGUUUCUGUUUUCUGCAUUACAUUCAGCUCAAUCAAUCAUUCAAUGGCUUCCAUCCUUAUUUUUCCUCUGUCCUUUCCAGUCAGACUUUGUUCUCUUCAGACUGGUGGUGGGUUUGUGCCUGGUACAGAGGGUGCUCACCUGAGCCAGGGACAUGAUGGUUGCUGUCAUGCUAAUCAUAAUUUUCCUCAGAAAGGAAAUAGCAAAUGCCUUUGUGUCUUGUUCUCCUGCCCUUGUGCUCCCAGACCCCUGCUCUGAGGACAGGACACUUCCCCUCUGCCUCCUUUUGCUCUGAUUUGCCUUGCCUUCCCCAAGCCCUACUGCUAACUGCACUCUCACUGAUUAUUUUCUUUUCAGAGGCUGUAAACUUCAGUUCCUGCUCAGCUUGCAUUAGUGUCAGAGAAGUAUCUCUUGGCUGUUUACAGAAGAGAAAAUGGAAAGAUGAGCAUUAUUUCAUGUGAAAUAUGGUAGAGAGCCUAUGCUGAGUUUCUCUGUGAGGCCUGAGGCUCCAGCUACCUGAAGAAGCUGGUGAAAGCAUCCGUCAUCUGGUGAUUCAUCUCCCCCUGCCAUGGCUCUGGCCCUGCUCUGCGUGGGUGUCUCACAGCUCUCAUCAACUCUGGUUUUGAUGCAGACCAGGAGCUGCUGGGCUGUUCGCCCAAGUUUAUCUUGUAUGAAAGAGUUUGCUUGCUUUUCAAUUGUCUGGUGUUCUCCUGAAGAUGUAAAUUAAAAAAAAUAAAAAAAAAAAUAAAAAAAACAGGUUUUCUUGUAGAUUGCUUUUCAGCUGUUUCUACUAGGAGUGAGAAAAUGGGGAUUGGUGCUCAAGGGAUGUCUCUGGUGCGAGGUCAUACCAGUCCAAUCCCUUCUUGGAAAGAG